Non-coding RNA from Lonchura striata (white-rumped munia), 563 nucleotides. NCBI's taxonomy places the organism in Eukaryota, Metazoa, Chordata, Aves, Passeriformes, Estrildidae. The record is from RefSeq and is a predicted model, not a curated record.
GGACUUGGGGAUUACUGAAGGAAUAUGUCAGAAUACAGACAGGAAGGGCCAGGAAACCUCUCACUGGGUCAGGAGCAAGUAUUGAAGAGUGAGGGUGCUUCCAGCUGUGAUGGACAAUGAUGCUGUCUGUCUUCCUUAUCCCAGAAGAUGCAUUCUGCCUGAAGACCACCUUGUGCUAAAUGCUGCACAUUCAUAGGACAGAAAGAUAUUUUCUGGUCUGAAGAGAACUUAACACCAGGAAAGAAGCAGCAGAUAGAAGAGCAGGUGUGAUGGUACUUGGAAAAAAUGCAACGGGACUGUCCCACUCUUGGUUUCAGAAGCUCAAAGACCAGAAGCAACUCAAAAGUCCCUGCAGCUGAGUGAAUAGAAGGCACUUCAUCUACAGAGAUAAAUGAUCCAAAGGCUUUUCCUUCUGUAAAUCUGAUGCAGCCACAACCCUUCAGCCCCUGCAGGACUUUUCUCCCAGAGUCACAGCUAAAUCAGUGUCACACUGAGUAAACAUGGGCUGUGCCUUACAGCCUGGACUGUUUUGGAAGACACCUGAAAAAGAUUCUGAAGUCUUU